GACGAACGCUGGCGGCGUGCCUAACACAUGCAAGUCGAGCGGGGUUGAAGCGAGGGGUAACUCGGACUUCUACCUAGCGGCGGACGGGUGAGUAACGCGUGGGCAACCUGCCUCAAGGUUUGGGAUAACAGCUCGAAAGGGCUGCUAAUACCGGAUAUGCCUGUGGCCUCGCAUGGGGCUAUGAGCAAAGGGGAAACCCGCCUUGAGAUGGGCCCGCGUCCCAUCAGCUAGUUGGUGAGGUGAAGGCUCACCAAGGCGACGACGGGUAGCCGGCCUGAGAGGGUGACCGGCCACACUGGGACUGAGACACGGCCCAGACUCCUACGGGGGGCAGCAGUGGGGGAUCUUGCACAAUGGGCGAAAGCCUGAUGCAGCGACGCCGCGUGAGCGAAGAAGGCCUUCGGGUUGUAAAGCUCUGUCUGGAGGGACGAAGAAAAUGACGGUACCUCCGGAGGAAGCCACGGCUAACUACGUG
This 475-nucleotide ribosomal RNA is filed under the name uncultured bacterium. Its description in RNAcentral is "bacterial SSU rRNA". It matches the Rfam family "Bacterial small subunit ribosomal RNA", at positions 28 to 507 of the family's 1533-position model. The record is from RNAcentral.